GAUGAACGCUGGCGGCGUGCCUAAUACAUGCAAGUCGAGCGAAUGGAUUAAGAGCUUGCUCUUAUGAAGUUAGCGACGGACGGGUGAGUAACACGUGGGUAACCUGCCCAUAAGACUGGGAUAACUCCGGGAAACCGGGGCUAAUACCGGAUAACAUUUUGAACCGCAUGGUUCGAAAUUGAAAGGCGGCUUCGGCUGUCACUUAUGGAUGGACCCGCGUCGCAUGAGCUAGGUGGUGAGGUAACGGCUCACCAAGGCAACGAUGCGUAGCCGACCUGAGAGGGUGAUCGGCCACACUGGGACUGAGACACGGCCCAGACUCCUACGGGAGGCAGCAGUAGGGAAUCUUCCGCAAUGGACGAAAGUCUGACGGAGCAACGCCGCGUGAGUGAUGAAGGCUUUCGGGUCGUAAAACUCUGUUGUUAGGGAAGAACAAGUGCUAGUUGAAUAAGCUGGCACCUUGACGGUACCUAACCAGAAAGCCACGGCUAACUACGUGCCAGCAGCCGCCGUAA
Molecule: ribosomal RNA, 515 nt
Filed under: uncultured bacterium
Lineage: Bacteria
Description: partial 16S ribosomal RNA
Rfam family: Bacterial small subunit ribosomal RNA
Source: RNAcentral